Pelobates cultripes (western spadefoot toad) is the source of this 930-nucleotide non-coding RNA. Lineage: Eukaryota; Metazoa; Chordata; Amphibia; Anura; Pelobatidae. The record is from the annotation of a GenBank genome assembly.
CUGGGUAUCAGCCAGUAGUCAAUCCUCCAGGUGUAUAACCCUGUACGGAGGUGGGUGGCACAGACAAGAUGGGCCAAUCAGGGAGCUGUGCCAGAGACAGCAAUAAUAAAGUCCAGUAGUCAUAAAUGUUAUAGGUUGGCUGAUGAACAACCUUCAGGGGCCUCAUCCCUAAUCAAACCGAUGUAUACAGUCACAGACUUGGACAUUUAUAAUAAUCAGUAGCACUGAGAAUGAGGUACUGGUGGGUAUAAUAUAGAGUGGGGGAUUACCCCUAUGAUGGUAACAAUACAUUAAAGUAAAGAUGUUGGUUCAAUGCUCUUCCAGGGCAGUCCAUGCGCAGAGCCCUGCUGAAGAGUUCUUGCAUGAGAAAAAAGCCCAGCAUUUGCUCAGCACACGCACAUUUUAUGAUACACUUGCACUGUGUUUGACUGUGACUUGUCUCUGGUGUCUACAAAAGUGGGCAACCAGAGGAAAAAAGGUCCAGAAAAGCGUAAGAGUAUUGUGCAUGUGUUUGUGUGUAGAGUGAGCCGAUUGUGGUGUUUUGUGUAAAUAGGUUGGAUGCAGUUGUAUUGUAAAAUGUGUGGCUAGGGGGCAUAGUGUGUUUAAAGAAUGUAGCAAGUGUGUUUGGAUAGGGGCUGUAGUGGGUGGGUGCAUAGUUUGUAAGGGCUGUAGAGAAUGUUUAGGGAAUGUACUGUCUGUGUUUGCAUGCAGGGAAUCUAGUGCGUGUGCCUAGGGGAUCCAGAAUGUCAGUGUGUGUGUAGAGGAUCCAGUGUGCAUAGGGGAUCUCGUGUGUGUCUGAAAUGUAGUGUGGGUGUAUAAGGAAUUUAGUGUGUGUAAAUAGAGUGUUUGUAAGAGAUGUGUCUAUAGAGGAUCUAGUGUGUAGGUGUGCAGUGUAAUUGGAGAGAAUAGUGCACACACUCAACAAAGGGG